GACGAACGCUGGCGGCAUGCCUAACACGUGCAAGUCGAACGAGAUCUUCGGGUCUAGUGGCGCACGGGUGCGUAACGCGUGGGAAUCUGCCCUUUGGUUCGGAAUAACAGUUGGAAACGACUGCUAAUACCGGAUGAUGACGAAAGUCCAAAGAUUUAUCGCCAGAGGAUGAGCCCGCGUAGGAUUAGCUAGUUGGUGUGGUAAAGGCGCACCAAGGCGACGAUCCUUAGCUGGUCUGAGAGGAUGAUCAGCCACACUGGGACUGAGACACGGCCCAGACUCCUACGGGAGGCAGCAGUGGGGAAUAUUGGACAAUGGGCGAAAGCCUGAUCCAGCAAUGCCGCGUGAGUGAUGAAGGCCUUAGGGUUGUAAAGCUCUUUUACCCGGGAUGAUAAUGACAGUACCGGGAGAAUAAGCUCCGGCUAACUCCGUGCCAGCCGCCGCAGUAA
Molecule: ribosomal RNA, 449 nt
Filed under: uncultured bacterium
Lineage: Bacteria
Description: partial 16S ribosomal RNA
Rfam family: Bacterial small subunit ribosomal RNA
Source: RNAcentral